UCGGGAAUUUUGGGCAAUGGGCGAAAGCCUGACCCAGCAACGCCGCGUGAGGGAUGAAGUAUUUCGGUAUGUAAACCUCGAAAGAAUGGGAAGAAUAAAUGACGGUACCAUUUAUAAGCUCCGGCUAACUACGUGCCAGCAGCCGCAGUAAUACGUAGGGAGCAAGCGUUGUUCGGAUUUACUGGGCGUAAAGGGCGCGUAGGCGGCGCGGUAAGUCACUUGUGAAAUCUCUGAGCUUAACUCAGAACGGCCAAGUGAUACUGCUGUGCUAGAGUGCGGAAGAGGCAACCGGAAUUCUUGGUGUAGCGGUGAAAUGCGUAGAUAUCAAGAGGAACACCUGAGGCGAAGGCGGGUUGCUGGGCCGACACUGACGCUGAUGCGCGAAAGCCAGGGGAGCAAACG
Molecule: ribosomal RNA, 402 nt
Filed under: uncultured bacterium
Lineage: Bacteria
Description: bacterial SSU rRNA
Rfam family: Bacterial small subunit ribosomal RNA
Source: RNAcentral